GCGAGUCAACCAUACGGAAAACUAAUCUUCGCCGAUGCAGUCUUUAUGAAUAUUCGUUGCAGCGCUUAUAUUCAUUCAACACAUUUCUUUUUCGGUAAGCCACCAUUCAUUCUAAAUAUAAACUUUAUUUUUUGUAGGUACCUGCCAAUUAAUGCAAAGAGAGCCAACACGAUAAGCUUCCGUUGUUUAUGUGAUUAGAGUUUAAAAACAUUUUAAACGACGAGUUCAAAAAAACAUGCUCAAAGCUAUUAUAUGACAAAGGUGCUGGAAGGACGUUGCGACGCGGCCAGAAACAGGAUACGGUGCAAGACAACGCGCAACGAUGGUUAUGUCAUUUUCUCAACGCUUAUAGUGUGGAGAAGUGCAUUAUGAUUCGAAGAAGGGUGCUCUAGGGAUCAUGUGGAUGGAUGAUUUAAUGAUAGCAGACAAAAUGCCUAAGAUGCAACAAGUGCAUAUAUUACAGUACACAUGAAUUGGACAUGACUGAUUUGGUAGAUCGGGUUUCAAAUCUAGUAUUCUGACGGUGUCGUUGCUGCACAUAGUUGCCUGAUCGAUAGGGUUAAUGCAAAUAUCUUGCUGAUGCUGUUGCCAGACGCUCGCUGGGUGACCGAUAUUGUUUACGGUUAUGUGCAUGUGUAUGUUUAUUAAUUUGUUUGCCUCGCGGAUUAACCAUAUUAAUUAAAGCUUCUAAAAUUUCUAAGCUAGAUGCUAAAAUCUAAAACAUUACUAGCAUCGUAAAGCAGCCAGGAGAAUAAUUGUAAAGAGGAUCUAGGGCGUGCGCAGAAAGGAGGACAAACUAAGGUGAUUCGAUCUGAUGAUUUGCGUAUAUAAAAGGGUCUUUGCAACCUGCCGAAGUUGAACGAGUUGGAAUUUACAGAGGAGGUCGGUUAAGUAAACCACCAUAAGGAAUACAUAAAAAUGGAUCAUAAUUAAUCAGGACCAUCGGUAUGAUCAAAUAGGAGAUAUGCUUUUAGUUAUAUAUGGUUUAUUAAUUCACCACGUGACGUUGGUGUUAUGUCCAAUGUUUCGUAAAAUUCAUCUUUUUAAAAUUAAUUAAAUUUAUCAAUUGUUGAUUAGUUCAGGGCCAAGGCUUAACACAUAACAUUUUGCAAAUAAUAUGUCGUAGGCUACAUAGGACGAACACCGUUUAAAAACGUGGAAUACGACUAGCCAGGUUUGAAAUUGGAAGAAACGACAAUGAAUUUAAGACAAAUUGUUCAGAAGAGUCUUAAUAGGCAUUCAUUUUUUUAUGCCUAGUAGCGAUAGUUUGAGCAGGCCAAUUAGUUUGUUACCCUUAGCUGCAAUGUGUAUUAGUAGUCGUAGAAGCUCAACUUUACGUUUACGAAGAAGCACUGGAUUAAGAACAUUAGCAAAGACGUGUACCGUAAUUAACAGCAAAAUUAAGGAAAUAUCGUAUAAUAAAAUGAACAUUA
Long non-coding RNA from Anopheles moucheti, 1433 nucleotides. RefSeq lists it as uncharacterized. The record is from RefSeq and is a predicted model, not a curated record. Lineage: Eukaryota; Metazoa; Arthropoda; Insecta; Diptera; Culicidae. The transcript has 3 exons.